CCUACGGGUGGCAGCAGUGGGGAAUAUUGGGCAAUGGGCGCAAGCCUGACCCAGCAACGCCGCGUGAAGGAAGAAGGCCUUCGGGUUGUAAACUUCCUUUAAGGGGGAAGAGCAGAAGACGGUACCCCUUGAAUAAGCCACGGCUAACUACGUGCCAGCAGCCGCGGUAAUACGGAGGUGGCAAGCGUUGUCCGGAUUUACUGGGUGUAAAGGGCGUGCAGCCGGGGAGACAAGUCAGAUGUGAAAUCCACGGGCUCAACCCGUGAACUGCAUUUGAAACUGUCUCGCUUGAGUGUCGGGGAGGUAAUCGGAAUUCGUUGUGUAGCGGUGAAAUGCGUAGAUAUAAGGAAGAACACCGGUGGCGAAGGCAGAUUACUGGACGAUAACUGACGGUGAGGCGCGAAAGCGUGGGUAGCAAACAGGAUUAGAUACCCCUGUAGUC
This 442-nucleotide ribosomal RNA is filed under the name uncultured bacterium. RNAcentral's name for it is "partial 16S ribosomal RNA". It matches the Rfam family "Bacterial small subunit ribosomal RNA", at positions 338 to 795 of the family's 1533-position model. The record is from RNAcentral.